UACGUAGGGGGCAAGCGUUGUCCGGAAUCAUUGGGCGUAAAGAGCGUGUAGGCGGCUCGAUAAGUCUGCUGUGAAAGUCCAGGGCUCAACCCUGGAAGGCCGGUGGAAACUGUCGGGCUAGAGUCCGGAAGAGGCGAGUGGAAUUCCCGGUGUAGCGGUGAAAUGCGCAGAUAUCAGGAGGAACACCAAUAGCGAAGGCAGCUCGCUGGGACGGUACUGACGCUGAGGUGCGAAAGCGUGGGGAGCAAACAGG
RNAcentral lists this ribosomal RNA (253 nucleotides) under uncultured bacterium. Its description in RNAcentral is "partial 16S ribosomal RNA". It matches the Rfam family "Bacterial small subunit ribosomal RNA", at positions 524 to 776 of the family's 1533-position model. The record is from RNAcentral.